CUGGAUUCAGUCCCAGGCUUGUCUGGCCCCCCUGACUUCUUCCCACCCCUAAGGCUCCCCGGGAGCACUUCCUCAGUCACUCAGGGAUGUAGCCCAAAGGACAACUGGGGGUUCAUACUGGAACUGCCCUGCUCUCAGAGCUGCCGGCUGGAGACGUGGAGACCCACCCUGGGAUCCCCCUCUACCAAACAAGGGUGACGCGGUCACAGAUUCUGCAGGCCCACCAGGCAACCAGGCCCUGCAGCACAGAGGUGGAGGAGCUGGGGCAGGAGAGCAAACACCUGGCUCAGGCUUCCAGAAGCGGCCCUUGCAGAGUCUGCUUUGCACCUGACGACUGGGAAGGUGGGGCACCCUCCCUGCACCUGCUUCACAUGGUCCCUCAGACAGCUGAUUCUCCUGAACUCAUCCAUCAGAAAAGGAAGUCCUCCUCCAGUGGGGAAGAGCCAGUGAGGGGGUGGAGAGAACAGAUUCCCCUUUCGAUGAGACAACAUGGGGGUGUGGGGUGUGGGUGCAGGGGUCACUGGAGGAGGUAGCAAAUGAUCAGGGAGAGACCAGGUCAGUCUCUGGAAGGCUGGGGCCUUGGGGAAUGCACGGGUGAGGUGGAGAGCGAACUUGGACCCAGACCCUUGGGUUCAAAUCCUACCUACUGCCACUUCUGAGCUGUGUAACCUUAUGUGCAAUAUUUAAUCUCUCUGCAUCACGGGUUUCUCAGCAGUGAAAUGGAGAUGAUGAGGGCGCCUAUCUCAGGAAGCUGCUUAGUGGAUUAAAUAAGAUCAUCCUUGAGAGCACUUAGCCCGAUGCCUGGCACGUGGCAAGCGCUCAAUAAAUGUAUGUUUCCUUCCACAUAUGAGAUGGCGGAAGAAGUGAGAUUUUGAGAUCUGAAUCAGGCUGGGGGUUGGGGUGGGUAUAGCUCAGUAGUAGAGUGCAUGCUCGGCAUAUAUGAGGUCCUGGGUUCAAUCCCCAAUGCCUCCAUUAAGAAAAACAAACAAAAACAAAAACCUGUCCUGAGUCAGGGGUUGAAUCAGCUGUACCGAGGGUUACCAGGGAGCUGCGUGGACCAUGAGCCAUGGAUGCAAACGAAGAAUACUCCCCACCCCACCCAAGCCUGCCCAGCUCCCGGAGCCUUCCUCUACCCUGCCCCUUGAGCUAAGAAGGGGCCAUGGAGGCCCAGAAAGCGAGCCAUCAGUGGCAGAGUUGGCGGCUGUCAAUCUCGAGUGCUUGCUUCUUCCAGAAAGACACUGUCGGUGACUGUCAGAAGUCGGCUGCCAGCUCCUCCUCCGCCUUGCUCCCCCCAGGUUCUAACAAGUGGGCUGGGGGCCGGGCAAGCGGUCCAGCCAGUGCCGCGGGUUGGAUGGGAGACAGCAAGGAGAAGGGGUGGGUGUGAUGCCCCGAGGAAGAGAUGCUCCGUCUGAACAGCACAGCUGCUCCUCAGCUCUGGCACGCUCGACACGUGGGCAGGGAGCCCCACGCUGCUCUAGCUCCCGGUUCUUUAAAAGAAGCCAGACAUCCUGAUAUUUAUGUGAAAUCUCCUGAACGGUAAUCGUUGGCCACAGAUUCAAAUACUUCAAGAGACGAGUCUACAAGCCAACUGAAAUCUCUCUCUGGGUUGACUGCGCCCCUGGGGGCUGCUGGUUUGCAAACUCAGCGGCAAGGGCCAAAGAGAACAUCGAGAUGUCAGUUUUAGCAGCAGAUGCCCAGAAAAUUUUCCAAGUCCUGGAUAGGCCUCCCCAGUAAAGGCUGGGGCGGCCGAGUCAGGAAAGGAGCUCAUGUGAGAUUUGAAGGCAGGAGUGCAGCAGAGUCAUUAUUCUGGACUGGGGUGAUCAGCCACGUGACUUCGCAGUCCUCUCUAUGAGGAUGCCAAGGGAGCUGGUGUAUUUUCUCACUGAACGGACAUUUCUCCGGAAGGUCUCAUGUGGUGCGUUUCUUUCCCUUUGGCACACUUACCACACUCCCACGGCAGCCACUGCAGCUCCUUCUUUCUUACAUAGUUUGUUCUUUGACUCUACUGCCUUGUCUGAGGGUGGCAAGUGAAAUGGAGAAGAUGGACAUUCCCUCCCAGACUAUCCAUCCCCCUGAAUUUUGCUCUAAAAGACGGUGGUGUUAACUUAUCAUCUCAGAGAACCUCUACUGAGAGUAGUUUUUUGACUAAGACCUUUGCAUUCAACCCAAGUGUUGAGUCAAAGUUUGAAGACCUCCCUGGGAAAGUCUCUACUCUUCUCAAUCCUGUCUUUCUUUAUUCACUGGAAAACAGCCAACAGGGUCAAUUAAAAUGAAUUUCACAGGUCCUUGAAUUGCCUGCUUUCUAAGUUCUUCCAUGUUUAAUUUUUUGGAGGUUGGUGCCAUUUCAAGGGUUCCAAUAUUCCAGGCUAGACAUUAACACAGCUUUUUUUUUUCCCUACAAUGUCCCUAGCUUUGGCUCCAUGAACACAAUGUGGGCAUGAUCCUCUAGGUCAGGGGUUGGCAAAUGAUUAAACCACCAGCCAGAUCCAGCCCAUUGCCUACUUUUACAAAUAGUUAUUGGAACACAGCCACGCCCACUCAUUUUUGUGCUGUCUAUGGCUGCUCUGGAAGUUGCGACAGAAGCCAUAUGGCUGCAAAGCCAGUAACACUUACUAUCUGACCGUUUACACAAAGUUUACUGAUCUCGGCUCUAGAUUAGUGUUUCUGGAUCGUUUCCUCAUCCUAGCACCCAUAAAAAAUAGUAUGCUGAGAGGUGAAGGAGUUAGUAUCUUGACAGGCCAUUGGGGCAUAUUGUUUGGGAGAGUCUAUGCUGGACCACUUGGGGCAGGACAUGACCUGGCAUAUACUUGGGACACCACUCUCUGAUAGCUGAGUCUUCUUUUGACACAUCUAGGCACCAAUACAUGAUCUACAUCUUGGUUCUGUAGGUCUUGCAUUUAGAUUCCCACAUAGAUUUCAAUUUUGAUCAAGACCAAGGUUACUUUUGUUCCUGGGUGGUGGUAACCUUCUGGGGAUCCUGAUUUCCUGGGCAGCUGUCCCUGUAGCAUAAAACGAGACUUAUAAGAGGACAAAGAUAUCCCCAUCACUGGUAGGGCCAGUUAGAGCCAUUGUGGUUCCAAACGAAUUAGCAGCACACCUGUGCCAGAGUUAGAGCGUGCCCCUGAACACGUGGCUGGAAUCUGUUUCAGUUAUCACAGCCGCUUGCCCCUUUCCCUCAAACAGUGCCGUAGUGAAGUGCCCAUGGGCAGAGUGGGCCUGGUUAAAGUCCACCUUCUGAACUGACACCCCAGGGCCUUUGACACUACCUGGUGUCCAUGGCUUUACCUCCACACUCCAACCACCCCAGCUGUGGAAUCCUUAAACGCCCAUCACAUUUUGAGGUCCCAUCCAUAUUGUUCCUUUUCCUCAUUUUAUUAGGGCAUAAAUCCAUUGCAGAAACCAUGACAAACGUGGCUGUCCGCUCUUUAUAUCACCAUAGAGAAGUGGGUUAAGAACCACAACAGAAAGAAUGAAACUGCAAGUU
This is a long non-coding RNA of Camelus dromedarius (Arabian camel), 3484 nucleotides long. RefSeq lists it as uncharacterized. The record is from RefSeq and is a predicted model, not a curated record. The transcript is spliced from 5 exons. Lineage: Eukaryota; Metazoa; Chordata; Mammalia; Artiodactyla; Camelidae.